GGGCCUGUGGUCUAAUGGCAUGACCUCUCACUUGCAAUGAGAAGACUCUGGGUUCAAAUCCCAGCAGGUCCA
RNAcentral lists this transfer RNA (72 nucleotides) under Methanobrevibacter sp. RNAcentral's name for it is "tRNA-Ala". It matches the Rfam family "tRNA". From Rfam's summary of the family: Transfer RNA (tRNA) molecules are approximately 80 nucleotides in length. Their secondary structure includes four short double-helical elements and three loops (D, anti-codon, and T loops). The record is from RNAcentral. Lineage: Archaea; Methanobacteriati; Methanobacteriota; Methanobacteria; Methanobacteriales; Methanobacteriaceae.